RNAcentral lists this small RNA (1371 nucleotides) under Arabidopsis thaliana (thale cress). RNAcentral describes it as "ATSL217560". The record is from RNAcentral. Lineage: Eukaryota; Viridiplantae; Streptophyta; Magnoliopsida; Brassicales; Brassicaceae.
UUUUAAAAUGUAACUCUUCCACUUUGGUAUUUAUUUUACUAAAACUAAGUUUCACUACUUUCAAACUUUUCAACUUCUUUCAUUUCUUCAAAGGUCUCCCACUUAAUCUGUUGUCAUUUCUAAAUAGAAAAAUAUAAAUUGACUUUGUAAAAUUACAUCCAAUAGAUACUCAAAUUUUAAAACAAAGAGACCUUUCAUCUUAUAUCGCAACAAUUAAUUAAUAUGACCUUUGUUACACCACUUCCACACACAUUUUGAAAAAAAUUGAUUUUCCCCAUUUUACCCAAUAUUUAACAAGUUCAUACUAGAGUUUACACGUUAGAGCUUUAUGUUUUAUAUAUGUAGUGAUCUGUAACACUAAUUUACAUUCACAACAUGAUUACUUGACUUCACAGACAUGAAAGCUUUUAUCAUUUAAUCUGAAAAUGAGAUGAUUUUCCACAUUUGUUUCAUUUUUCACAUUUGAAGUUGUACAAAACGUUUGUUUCUCCUAAAAACACUUGUGUCAUCCAGACUAAAAAAGGCUUUUCAUGAGUUUAAGAAUGAAUUUAAAAUUCAUAAGCGAAUAAAAGUAACUUCUAGUGGUAACAUCUUAUCAGUUGGUGUAUCGUAGCACAAUAUCCUUUGUUCAAGAUUCGACAUUGUCUUUAGGAAGUGUUUCACCUGCUUCUCUAUGUCUUCGUCGUCAUAAGAUCACCAAAGAGUAUUUCCUUCCCCCCCCCCUCCAACGUUUGCAUAAACACCCAUCCUCGUUGCACAUUGUUUAGUACGUAUAUUCGUUAUGCAGAUAAAAAGAGACUAUUUCAAAAUUUAUUUAUGUGUAAAAGCAAAUCAAUUGUUAAUGUGAAUAAUGUGUAUGCUACUUUAAAGACGAGAGUUUCUAGAUUGGAUAAUUGUUGAGUAGAUAUGGUAGAUUUCUACUCUACACAUGAUACAAUAAUUAACAGUAUCAGGUAGUUGAAUACAUAUAUUGUUUCACUACUGUCAUUAAGCACUUGAAAUUAAAACCGAGUUAGCUAUAUAUAUCAUAACUAACUAAUUUUCAAUUGUUAACUUUUGUCAAAAAAGAUGGGACUGACCUUAAAAUUGUCACAAGAGAAGUAGAGGAUAUUAACAUUCCAUAUUCCCAUGAGAAAGUUUUUCAAAAUAUUUUUGUCUUUGAGUUUUAAAGUAAGUUCUUCUUAACAUGUUAUAUGUAUAAUAUGAUCAUGUGUCGUUUAAAGUUCGAGACUAAAUUCAACAAACGAAUCAAAACUUGCUUGUUGAUACUCAUCACCCAUAUUAUCAAAAUAUUCUAUGUAUACCAUAUUUGGAUUAUCGACAGUGACACAUUCUCAUUAGCCUCAUUAACAUCUUGAACCUUAUAAAAAA